GGGACAGUUCUGCCCCAGCGCCUUCCAGCUUUUCUCCAAGCACUCCUUGCAGAAGCUGUGGCUGCAGGAAAGAAGCACGGGCUCCCGAUGUAUCUCUUCUGGUGGAUCACCCACAUCUUUCUAUCCCUCCCUUCUCUCCUCUCUCUGGUCCAAUCCCUCACGUGCAACAAGGAGACACAGUAUGCUUGGUCACUGUUAGUAAGCUAAUGGUGCUGCAGCAAAUGUCCACCAGAUGUAUCUCUUCUGGUGGAUCACCCACAUCUUUCUAUCCCUCCCUUCUCUCCCCUCUCUGGUCCAAUCCCUCACGUGCAACAAGGAGACACAGUAUGCUUGGUCACUGUUAGUAAGCUAAUGGUGCUGCAGCAAAUGUCCACCAGGUAAGCCAUUCGAAUAAGACUUUUGUGUGUGUGUGUGUGUGUGU
Coregonus clupeaformis (lake whitefish) is the source of this 421-nucleotide long non-coding RNA. RefSeq lists it as uncharacterized. The transcript has 3 exons. Lineage: Eukaryota; Metazoa; Chordata; Actinopteri; Salmoniformes; Salmonidae. The record is from RefSeq and is a predicted model, not a curated record.